UGAUUCUUAUGUAUACUGUGAAAGUAAUUAUUAAAUAUAAAAAGUUCAAAAAUACAUGAACUUGGGUUUAGAAAUAAAAUUUGGAAUUGAGAAUGAGAAUUGUCUUAGGAAUGACACGCUAAAAUAUACCGAAAUUAGAUGGCUUAGAUUAAGCACAGAAUAAAGUCCUAGAUGGCAACGAUACGGAGGGAAUGUCAUAGCCCACGGUGAAAGUC
RNAcentral lists this long non-coding RNA (215 nucleotides) under Actinidia chinensis (golden kiwifruit). RNAcentral's name for it is "long non-coding RNA (ACHI_LNC004927)". The record is from RNAcentral. Lineage: Eukaryota; Viridiplantae; Streptophyta; Magnoliopsida; Ericales; Actinidiaceae.